RNAcentral lists this ribosomal RNA (379 nucleotides) under uncultured bacterium. RNAcentral describes it as "partial 16S ribosomal RNA". The record is from RNAcentral.
AGGCCCGGGAACGUAUUCACCGCGGCAUUCUGAUUCGCGAUUACUAGCGAUUCCAGCUUCAUGUAGUCGAGUUGCAGACUACAAUCCGAACUGGGACGUUAUUUUUGGGAUUUGCUCCCCCUCGCGGGCUCGCUUCCCUUUGUUUACGCCAUUGUAGCACGUGUGUAGCCCAAGUCAUAAGGGGCAUGAUGAUUUGACGUCAUCCCCACCUUCCUCCAGGUUAUCCCUGGCAGUCUCUCUAGAGUGCCCAUCCAAAAUGCUGGCUACUGAAGAUAAGGGUUGCGCUCGUUGCGGGACUUAACCCAACAUCUCACGACACGAGCUGACGACAACCAUGCACCACCUGUCUCUCCUGUCCCGAAGGAAAGCUGCGUACUCA